This 325-nucleotide ribosomal RNA is filed under the name uncultured Desulfobulbus sp. Its description in RNAcentral is "bacterial SSU rRNA". It matches the Rfam family "Bacterial small subunit ribosomal RNA", at positions 1059 to 1382 of the family's 1533-position model. Lineage: Bacteria; Pseudomonadati; Thermodesulfobacteriota; Desulfobulbia; Desulfobulbales; Desulfobulbaceae. The record is from RNAcentral.
CUCGUGUCGUGAGGAUGUUGGGUUAAGUCCCGCCAACGAGCGCAACCCUUGCCUUUAGCUGCCAGCAGUUCGGCUGGGCACUCUAAAGGGACUGCCGGUGUUAAACUGGAGGAAGGUGGGGAUGACGUCAAGUCCUCAUGGCCUUUAUGACCAGGGCUACACACGUACUACAAUGGCCGAUACAAAGGGCAGCGACACUGCGAGGUGAAGCCAAUCCCGUAAAAUCGGUCUCAGUCCGGAUUGGAGUCUGCAACUCGACUCCAUGAAGUUGGAAUCGCUAGUAAUCGUGGAUCAGCAUGCCACGGUGAAUACGUUCCCGGGCCUU